GCCGGGGCUGAGGAGGAAGAGGAGGCAGGGGACUGACCAGAGGCCAUGAAGGUGACCGUGCCUCGGGUGGUUAAGAAAAACCCUGAAGAUAGUUCCAGAUCCUGUGAAGCAUGUGUGUGAAGCAAGUUUCUGUUCAUCAGAUUGUAGUCCAAGGAAGACUCGUUCUGGCGCUGUCAUAUGGCCCUGUCUGUCAUCACAACACAACAGAAUUUUUUUUCUCGAGUUUCUUCCUGUGGUUAGCAAAAUAUAAAACUGAAAGAUCUGGUGAAAGAGGGUGUAUGGUAACACACU
RNAcentral lists this long non-coding RNA (291 nucleotides) under Rattus norvegicus (Norway rat). Its description in RNAcentral is "long non-coding RNA NONRATT016903". The record is from RNAcentral. Lineage: Eukaryota; Metazoa; Chordata; Mammalia; Rodentia; Muridae.